Molecule: ribosomal RNA, 467 nt
Filed under: uncultured bacterium
Lineage: Bacteria
Description: bacterial SSU rRNA
Rfam family: Bacterial small subunit ribosomal RNA
Source: RNAcentral
CCCCAGACUCCUACGGGAGGCAGCAGUGAGGAAUAUUGGUCAAUGGGCUUACGCCUGAACCAGUCAAGUCGCGUGAGGGAAGACUGCCCUAUGGGUUGUAAACCUCUUUUGUCAGGGAGCAACGCCGGCUACGUGUAGCCGGACUGAGAGUACCUGAAGAAAAAGCAUCGGCUAACUCCGUGCCAGCAGCCGCGGUAAUACGGAGGGUGCGAGCGUUAAUCGGAAUCACUGGGCGUAAAGCGCGCGUAGGCGGCUUUUCAAGUCAGGGGUGAAAUCCCACGGCCCAACCGUGGAACUGCCUUUGAAACUGUAGAGCUUGAGUGUCGGAGAGGGUGGCGGAAUUCCAGGUGUAGGAGUGAAAUCCGUAGAUAUCUGGAGGAACACCGGUGGCGAAGGCGGCCACCUGGACGACAACUGACGCUGAGGUGCGAAAGCGUGGGUAGCAAACAGGAUUAGAUACCCCGGUA